This 23688-nucleotide long non-coding RNA is filed under the name Gossypium barbadense (sea-island cotton). Its description in RNAcentral is "long non-coding RNA (GBAR_LNC020333)". Lineage: Eukaryota; Viridiplantae; Streptophyta; Magnoliopsida; Malvales; Malvaceae. The record is from RNAcentral.
AUUGUGAGAGACUUUGAUGGAGAAAUGGUACGUUUGGCUCUCACCACUGGCCAUGGAUGGCCAUUUAUCUUUAAGAAAGUUGGAAAAUCAGCCAUGGAGAUUGAACAAGUUGUUCAUAAUUAGAUUGAAAGCAAUCAUUAUGCAUGAACUAGUAGUUACUACAUAAUAUUAGCUUCAAGUAAAUAAUGCUGAGGGAACUUAUUGUUAAGAUUGCCUUGUUUGAAGCGGCAGCAUGUAUAUAUAUAUGCUUGCUUACAAGGUUUGUCUCUCAGAGUCCUCCUCUUUGUACUCUUUUCAGCUUAAUGAAUAAACUGUUUACUUAUUUACUUCUUUUGUUGCCAUUGAUUCUAGUAGCAUUCGACUCAUUAACUUGGAUACAUUACCUUGUAAUUAACCAAAAAGUUAUGUGUAUAUAUAUAAAGAGUGUGUGAGAGAAAAAAUAGAAUACCAAGUACCAAGUGAAAAAUGUUAAUACUAGGAUUAUUCAAAGCGAUUUCAAUGAACAGAAAUGGAAUAGUCGUCGGGUGGUUAGGGCAUUUUAUCUUUAGAGAUAAAGAAGGUUGGUUCAUGUUCGGAGUUUGUGGCUACUCCUUCAAUAAUAUCGUUUUUAAAGUUUAAACUUGUAUCACAUUUUAAACACGUAAUGUAUCUUACCAUUACAUCCAACAAUAUUAACCAUUUACUCUAUUGUAUUGUAUUGUAUUCUAUUAUUAAUUAAUGAUUAUGAUAUGUAUUAAGUUUAAGAUGAAUUUUCUCAGUAAUAUAUAUCAAUGGAAUCAAAUAUUUGUAUUUAAAGUUUUAACUCCACAUUAACUUUUUCUUUAUUUUGUCCGUUUGCUGGCGAUGAUUAGGAGAUUAAUGGUUGGUAUUUGUGGUUAGUAGGUUAUAACUCAAUAGUGAACUCGAGGGUUGAUAGUGGCCCGACUCCACUUAAAUAAAAAAUUUUACAUUUAAAUCUCUUUAUAAUUUAUAAAAUUUUAAAUUAAUAAUAAAAAAAUUAUAUUUUAACUCUCUAAAAUUAAUAAAAAUGAUAAAAAUGUAGAAGUAAAUUUAUACAAUUAAUGAUAAUAAUGAUAAGAAGUUGUUUCCUGUCACAUGGAAAUUUAUGGCAUCGUCCAUUUGGUUUUAUAUUUGUCCAUUUGCUUGGUUAAGAGUUGAAAGACAAACUAUAAUUAAGUAUACAAAACCAAACGAAUUUCAAGGGUUUUCUCUUCAAUUAUUGUCGAAUUUAGCUAAUUAUUAGUAAUUUUUAUUAUUUAAUUAUAAAAAUUAUAAAAUAAUGACUUAAUUAUAAGAAUUAUAAAAUAGUGACUUAAUUAUAAAAAUAUAUAUAAAUAGCCAUCUAAUUAUUUAAUUUUUUUUCUUUUUUAUCAUCACCGGAUUAAUGGUGGUAAUUUUUAUAAUUGACAUAAUAGUAACUUUAACCAUUAAUAAUUAUACAUUAUGUCAAUUUAGUCUUGAUUCUAAAAAAUUUAACCUUUGACAUUUACACAUAUAUAAUUUGACAUUUUUAUAAUUUUAUUUUUUACUAAAAAUAAAUCAUGAAAAUAAUAAAAUAUGCAUAAAAAUAAAAAUACAGCUACCGAGUAUAUGUCUUAAUGUAGAUUUAUAACAAUUAUCUUUUCAUAAAGAUAUUUUAUUAUAAAAUAUAUAAUAAGCACUUCCCUGUAACAAAUAAAAUUGUAGUAAACAAAUGAAAUUAUUAUAAAGAAGAAUUUUCUAUUUUCAUAAUAAUAAUAAUAAUAAUAAUAAUAAAAGAAAAGAAAAAAGUGGUUCUAUUAAUUCACCUCACAUUUGAAAUGUGUUAUAUGUAAUAAUAUUAAUGUCUUUAUCAAUUUUGGUGGUUCAUCCUUUCCCAUCUCUAUAAACACUACACCAGAAUAGGUUUUUAGCGGCGUUUUUUAGGCCUUUAGCGACGCUUAUUAACGCCACUAAAUCUAUUUCCGGCACUUACAAAAAAAAGCCGCUAAAGAUCAUGUUCUUUAGCGGCGCUUAGGAAAAAACGCCGCAAAAAAUCAUGUUCUUUAGCGGCGCUUAGAAAAAAACGCCGCUAAAGAUCAUGUUCUUUAACGGCGCUUAGAAAAAAACGCCGCUAAAGAUCAUGUUCUUUAGCGGCGCUUUGGAAGAAAACACCUCUAAAAGUAAUGUUCUAUAGCGGCGCUUGUUCAAAAACGCCGCUAAAAGUAGUGUUCUUUAGCGUCGCUUGUUUCACAAACGCCACUGUUUUGAUAUGACUUUUAGCGGCGCUUUUUUAAAAAAUGUCACUAAUUUUGGGAUUUUUUUAAAAUAAAAUUUUCUGUUUUUUUCAGCCCUCCUGCAACAACAAAUCAAAAGCAACCAGAUCUAAACUAACCAAAAAUAAUAAAUUUAUAUAAUAUUUCAAAUUAAAUGAAUAAAAUAAUAUUAAUUGAUAUAAAUAAAAGUGAAUUUCAGACUUUUCUUUACAAAAACGUUAAAAGUAUUUAUGCAACAUACACUAUGACGGCGGAAGUUGCGACUGCUGAAACAUCUUCAUCAUAAUCUAAAGCUGCUGUUGAAGUUCGUCGUACUUUUUGCUCUACUUUGCUUCUCUCGAUGCCGCAUCUUUUUGAAGCCGUAGCUGUAGUUCUUCACAUUUCUUUUGAACCUCUGCUUCUAUCGCUGCUUAUCUCGCUACGGCAUCUGCUUCCCUCACUGCUGCCUCUGAUUUAAGUUGUUGCUGAAGUUCUUCAUAUUUCCUUUGAACCUCAAAUGUGGUCGCUUGCAUCUGAGUCAUCUAGUCUUUUAACCUCUGAACUUCAGCUUGAGACUGACUCCCCGAAGCCAUGUAUUGGUGCGAGCUGGAUCCAAAAUAUUGGGUUGGGCUGAUAAAAGAUCCUUGAAAUCGAACCCGACCAUACUUUUCAGGACCCAAAACUUUAGUAAUAAUCCGGUUAUCAAUGUCUUCAAGAUGAAUAGAACUAUCACUAGAAGCAAUCGUUUCGUACUCUGUCUUUUUUUCCUUCAGUUUUUCCUAAUAAAUAAAUCACAUAGUUAGGAACGCAAUAUAUAGUAAAAAAAACAAAUGCAAUAUAACAAUAGUCGCAUUACAAGCAAUGAAUUAAACCAUUAGAAAAUAAACACUAUAAAUAACUAAAACAAGUGAAAUCGUAUUAAGUAAACGUACCAUAAUUUCACCAGCUUCAGGAGUCAUAGCAGAUCCAUCUUUCUUCUUAUGUGUAAUUUCAAAAAGUUGAAGGCGUCCAACUUUUUGAUCGGACGACCGUUCCUACAACACUCUUUUUUAAGUUUUUAUUGGGGGAUAUUUGCUUGAUGUAAGUGAGAUAUUUUGGAGAGAGUGAUUUGUAAUAAUUUAGGUUCAAUAUUGAAGUUGCAAAUAACUAUAAGGUAAUGGUAAUUUAGACUUUAGUCAAUAGUUAAUCAAGACGAAUUGUAAAUAAAAAUUAUUUUUUAAGCGAAACUCUACAGAAUAAAACUAGUGAACUCAAACUACUGAACUCAAACUACGCUAACAAAUAUUACAUAUUAUCUUUCCUUACUUUACUUGUUGCUUUACCUUAUUUUAAAAUUGUUUUGUCAUAAAUGUAUUAUGUUUGAACCUUUCCGAUCGAAAUAAAAAAAAUGAGAUUGAAAUUGUGAUAAAGCUAAAAAAAGGUUACAACAAAUAUGAUUAAUAUUAUUUUUAUAUAUACUUAAUAAAAGUUAAAAAGGGAAUUACAUUUAUUGAAUAUUAUUUUAUUUAAUAAAAUAUAAUUACUAUAUUUUAUAUAAAAUUUAAAUAUUUUAUUGUUUGUUAGUUAAAUUUUAUUUUUUUUUAUUUUCUUUAUGAAUAAAAUUAAUUUUCCUAAAAUUUGAGAUAAAAAAUGUUAUAUAGAAAAUUAAAUUAGUAAAAAGUUAAAAAAAUCAAUUCUAAAAUAAACUUAACUAUUAUAAUAAAAUAUUUUUAUAUAAAAAAAAAGAAAUUAUAGAAAAGACUUAUUGAAUAUAUUUCCUAUUUUCGACAUUCAUAAAAAAAAAAAAGUGGUCCUAAUAAUUUUUUUAUACAAAACAAAAAAAAGUGGUCCUAUUAAUUUACCUCACAUUUGAAAUGUGUUAUAUGUAAUAAUAUUAAUAUCUUUAUCAAUUUUGGAGGUUCAUCCUUUCCCAUCUCUAUAAAUUUGCAUGCAGAACUAAAGCAACACAUAUCAACACAAUCUGUAUAACCAUGAAAACCACAACAGCUUCGGUGUUUCUUCUUUUCAUCAUCUUCUCAAUCACACCAUUGUCCUUUUCGUUUGGUGUGGCCAACACUUCAAACGCUCCUGUGCUCGACAGUGAUGGCAACGAGCUCCGCACAGGCACCCCAUACUUCGUUGUGUCGUCGAUAUGGGGUGCUGGUGGUGGGGGGCUUGCCCUAGGCAUGCCUAGAGGAAAGCCAUGCCCGGAAGUCGUUGCUCAAAGAGGAUCUGGUGACGAUGGUAUUCCGGUGAUAUUUUCUAAUUCGGACUCCAACGAUGGCGUUGUUCGCCUAUCCUCUGACAUAAACAUAGAGUUCAUUCCCCUCAGACCCAGAUUUUGCCAAACAACAACGGUGUGGAAGGUCGAUGAUUACGACCACUCAGCCGGAAAAUGGUGGGUGAUAACCGAUGGGGUUAAAGGGAACCCAGGUGCCAACACUUUGACCAGUUGGUUUAGAAUAGAGAAGGCGAGUCAUCUUGAUUACACAUUUAAGUACUGCCCCGCAGUAUGUGGAACAUGCCCGGCUUUAUGCAACAAAAUUGCGAGAGACUUAGAUGGAGAAAUGAUGCGUUUGGCUCUCUCCACUGACCAUGGAUGGCCAUUUUUCUUUAAGAAACUUCAAACAUCAGCCAUGGAGAUUGAACAAGUUGUUCAUAAUUAGAUUGAAAGCAAUCAUUAUGCAUGAACUAGUAGUUACUAUACAAUAUUAGCUUCAAGUAAAUAAUGCUGAGAGAACUGAUUGUUAAGAUUGCCUUGUUUGAAGCAGAAGCAUGCAUAUAUAUAUGCUUGCCUACAAGGUUUGUCUCUCAGAAUCCUCUUUGUACUCUUUUCAGCUUAAUAUAUAAACUGUCUACUUAUUUACUUCUUUUAUUAAUGUCAUUGAUUCUAGUAGUAUUAGACUCAUUAACUUGGAUACAUUGUCUUGUAAUUAACCCAAAAAUUAUAUAUAUAUCAAAAAAAAAAAUGAGAGUGAGAGAGGAAAAUAGACUACCAAGUAACAAGUGAAAAAUGGUAAUACUAGGGUUAUUUAGAGUGGUUUCAAUGCACAACCGGAAUGAAUUGUUACCUUAUCUUUAGAGUCAAAGAAGGGUUCGUGACUAGUCUUUCAACAAUACUAUUUUCAAGGUUCAAACCUGCAUUAUCCUUUAAAUACGUAAUGUAUUUUAUCAUUACGCUCAAUAUUAUUAGUGAUUUACUUUAUUCUAUUCUUAAUUAAUAAUUAUGAUAUAUAUAAAGUUUAAGAUGGAUUUUCUUAUUUAUGUAUAUCAAUUAAAUCAAAUAUUUGUAUUUAAAGUUUUAACCCAACAUUAACUUUUUUUUUAAAAAUUUCUUCGUUUGUUGGUGGUGAUUAGGAGAUUGAUGGCCGGUCUUUGUGAUUGGUAGCUUUUAACACAAUGGCGAAGCUAAGGAGGCUUUAAAUGUUUAAAUGAAUAUUUUUUUCAAUUGAAAUUUCUUUAUAAUUUAUAAAAUUUUAAAUUAAUAAUGAUAAAAUUACAUUUUAAUUUUUUAAAAAUGAUAAAAACGUGGAAGCACAUUUGUACGAUUAAUAAUAAUGAUAAUAUUUUUCCUACCACAUGGAAGUUUAUGGAAACACCAUUGGGUUUUGUAUUUAUGUUUUAUUCGACACUCUUAUAAGUUUUACUGGGGAGAUUUGUUUGAUUGUAAGUGAGGUAUUUUGCGGAGAGUGAUUUAUAAUAAUUUAAAAUUAAUAUUGGGGUUACAAAUAACUAUGGGAGUAAAGUAGUUUAGACUUUAGCUAAUAAUUGAUCAAGAUGGAUUGUAGAAUAAAAUCAUUUUCGAAGCAAAAUUUUAUAAAAUUAGUAAAUCUGAAUUAUUCUAUAAUAUUGAUAUUAUCUUUCUUCACUUUAGCCCUUGCUUCACCUUAUCUCAAAAUUAUUCUAUAAUAAUCUAUUUUGUCUCAACCUUUUCAACAGAAUUUAAAAUGAAACUAUUUCUAUGAAGUGCAAACCAAAAACUUUUUCACAUACCAAUAAAUGGCAAGCAACCAUACCGUGGGCCCAAUGUCCCAACAAUCAUCUAAACAUUUUUUUUUUCUUUUUUAAAUAAUAUGUAAUAAUUUAUAUACCAUAAAUGAAUAUUAAUUAAAAUAAUAUAAACAAAAUACGACUCUUUAAUAUAAUAUGGAUCCAAAAUGUUUCAUAUUUGAAAUGCAGUUUUUGAUAAUUUCACAUUUCAUAUUUUAUCUUAGAACAAAAAGAAAAUUUGAACUUAAUAUUUGGACUAUUGAUCAAUGGUGUUUAUUAUAUUUCAAGACUAUCAGAUUAAUCUGUCGAUACUACUUAUAUGGUAUGGUUUAAAUGGGUGUGUGUGGAUAUAGAAAUUUGAAAUUCUAUUGUAUCAAAGAAAUUUUUUUUAAAAAUAAAAUAAAAAGGAAUUUGAAAUUUAAAAUUUGAGAUCAAAAUAAAAAAAAUGAGACUUGUUAUAAACCAUAAGGCUCAAAAAAGGUUACAACAAAUAUGGUUAAUAUUAUUUUUAUAUAUACUUAAUAAAAGUUUAAAAUAUCAAAUUUGUAAUAUUAUUUUUAUUUAAUAAAAUAUAAUUAAUAUAUUUUAUAUAAAAUUUAAAUAUUUUAUUGAAAUAUUAUGUUAGGUAAAUUUUAUUAAUUUUAUUUUCUUUAUAAAUAAAAUUAAUUUUAUUAAAAUUUGAGAUAAGAUAAUUAAAUUAAUAAAAGGUAUACUUCAUAUUUUAUAGUUAUUAUAAAUAAAAAAUUAUUAUAAAAAUUAAAAAAAAAGAAUUCUACAACAUAAUGAAAUAUUUUUAUUAAAAAAAACAGAAAUGAUUGAUGGAAUAUAUUUCCAAUUUUCGACGUUCAUUAAAAAAAAAAGAGUGGUCCUAAUAAUUGAUUUAUUGGGGAAAAAAAAGUGGUCCUACUAAUUUACCUCACAUUUGAAAUGUGUUAUAUGUAAUAAUAUUAAUAUCUUUAUCAAUUUUGGAGGUUCAUCCUUUCCCAUCUCUAUAAAUUCGCAUCGAGAAAUAAAGCAAUACAUCAACGCAAUCUGUAUAACCAUGAAAACCACAACAGCUUCAGUGUUUCUUCUUUUCAUCAUCUUCUCAGUCACACCAUCAUCUUUUUUGUUUGGUGUAGCCAACGCUACAAACGAACCUGUACUCGACAUUGAUGGCAACGAGGUUCAAACAGGCACCCCAUAUUACGUUGUGUCGUCCAUAUGGGGUGCUGGUGGUGGGGGGCUUGCCCUAGGCAGGCCUAGCGGAAACCCAUGCCCGGAAGUCGUUGCUCAAAGACGAUCCGGUGACGAUGGUAUUCCGGUGAUAUUUUCUAAUUCGGACUCCAACGAUGGCGUUGUUCGCCUAUCCUCUGACAUAAACAUAGAGUUCAUUCCCCUCAGACCCAAACUUUGCCGAACAACAACGGUGUGGAAGGUCGAUGAUUACGACCAUUCAGCCGGAAAAUGGUGGGUGAUAACGGAUGGGGUUAAAGGGAACCCGGGUGCCAACACUUUGACCAGUUGGUUUAGGAUAGAGAAGGCGGGUGAUCUUGAUUACACAUUUAAGUACUGCCCUGCAGUAUGUGGAACAUGCCCAGCUUUAUGCAACAAAAUUACGAGAGACUCAGAUGGAGAAAUGGUACGUUUGGCUCUCUCCACUGGCAAUGGAUGGCCAUUUUACUUUAAGAAAGUUGGAAAAUCAGCCAUGGAGAUUCAACAAGUUGCUCGUAAUUAGAUUGAAAGCAAUCAUUAUGCAUGAACUAGUAGUUACUACAUAAUAUUAGCUUCAAGUAAAUAAUGCUGAGAGAACUUAUUGUUAAGAUUGCCUUGUUUGAAGCGGCAGCAUGUAUAUAUAUAUAUGCUUGCUUACAAGGUUAAUUUGUCUCUCAGAGUCCUCUUUGUACUCUUUUCAGCUUAAUGAAUAAACUGUUUACUUAUUUACUUCUUUUGUUGCCAUUGAUUCUAGUAGCAUUCGACUCAUUAACUUGGAUACAUUACCUUGUAAUUAACCAAAAAGUUAUGUAUAUAUAUAUAUAUAUCAAAACAAAACAAAAAAGAGAGUGAGAGAGGAAAAUAGACUACCAAGUACCAAGUGAAAAAUGGUAAUACUAAAUUUCCAGAUAUAUGGCAUUGUUUGUGUGUGACAAACACCAAGUAUAAAUAGGUGGAAGUAUGACUACUUAUCAAGAGUGGUAUGGUUCAAAAACUACCCCUAUCGAAUUAUUUCAUCCUACUCAUUCGUUAUCGAUAGGAAGAAGGAUACUUCCAACAAGAAAUAUUUUGAAGGGUUAGUGUUGAGUUAGCUAAAAAUCAAAGUUUAUCAGAAGCUCGAUCUAAAAUUCGCCAAAAGGAGGAUUAUUCAAAGCGAUUUCAAUAGACAACGGGAAUGGAAUAGUCUUUGAGUGGUUAGGGCACCUUAUCUUUUGAGAUAAAGAAGGGUUGGUCCAUGUUUGCAGUUCGUGACUAAUCCUUACAACAAUGUCGUUUUCAAGGAUUGAACAUGUGUCAUCCUUUGAACAUGUAAUGUGUCUUACAAUUACACCUAACAUUGUUGGUGAUUUACUUUAUUAUAUUCUUAAUUAAUAAUUAUGAUAUAUAGUAUGUUUAAGAUGCAUUUUCUUAUUCAUGUAUAUCAAUUGAAUCAAAUAUUUGUAUUUAAAAUUUUAACUCGACAUAUCGAAGGUCUGCUACUCUAGCACGUCUUUGGUCUGCUGCUCUAGCAUGUUUUGGUUUUUUUAGGGUUUUUUUGGCUUAUUUCUCUUUGUUCUAGCGAUGACAGUUCUUGGGAUAGAGUAUUUCUUUUCAAUCUGGUUGAUUUUGAUUCGUGGCAAUGGAGGAUGAAUUGGCAGAGUUAACAUUGGAAGAUGAGGAAUAGGAGAUUUUGCAAGUACAGAAGGAAACUGAUUCUGCGACAGUGGUUUAAGAUCUUUGUCUGGUUGGAUACUUUCUCACAACGAGUGUAAUCCACUUUAUGACAAUGAGAAGCGCGAUGGCAAAUCUAUGGCAUCCUCUUAGAGGAGUUCAGAUCUCUAAUUUGGGGGAUAAGAAAUUAUUUCAAUUUUUUCAUAAAAUGGAUAUUGAUAGGGUACUAAAUGGGGAUCCAUGGACUUUCAAUAAUCAUCUUUUGGUGAUUCAUUUUUUGGAGGAUGGUGAGGAUCCGAUGAAGGUACCGCUAAUCUAUACGACUUUUAAGGUGCAAGUGCAUGAUUUACCCCCAGGGUUUUUUACUGAAUCUAUAGCAAAGAAGUUAGGCAAUUUUAAGGGUAAGUUUUUUGGAUCAAUGGAAAAAGCUUGGGUAAGGGCCUCAGGAAUUUCUUACAUAUACGGGUUUAGAUGGAUGUUAGAUGCUAUUUGAAGCGAAAAAAGAAGAUUAUGUUUUCACUUGGCAAGUGUUCCUAUGUCAACUUGAUAUACGAAUGACUAACUCUAUUCUAUUUUGUCUAUGGUUGUUUGGUAGACAAUGACUCUUUCUGUCAAGUUAGAAUGGCUAAAGGCUUAGAAGUUGUAGAGAUGGGAUGGUAUCUGUCUCUAAAAGCCCAGUCUAGGAGAGCUACUACGAUGAACAGCGUGUGGCUGCGGGAGGAAGGUAAAGGUGAGAUAAAGGGAAAUACCAUAGGACAUUUUGAUUUAGGGUAGGGAUUGUGGAAGGAUGGAAGGAAAGAAUCUAGGAUGCCCAUAGAUCUGUGUUGGGGUUAAAUUUGGAGGGUGGUUUGAAGUUAGUGUCGGGUAUGCAAGGGAACUCUUCAACGAUACAAGAUCAUUCGAAUAUGGAUCACGACUCAGAGGAAUGCGCUAUAAAAGGUAAAGAUGGGAAAAAAAGACCCAAAAAGGAUAAUGGAAAUCAUAGUGUUUCGAUUGUGACAGAUUCACUUGUGAUUAGAGAUGAGAGAUUGUUGGGACGAACUCACUUUUUAUCGGCAGCUGCCAAGGGGCAAGAUGAUCAGUCACAAUAAAAAUAAUUAGUUGGAACAUCCGUUGAUUGGGGUGUCCACAGGCUAUAAGAAGGCUUUGACAUAUGUUGAAGGUGUAUAAUCCCCAAGUGGUCUUCUUUAUGGAGACAAAAAUUAGUAAUGUGCAAAUAGAGAAUGUGCAUAGAAGGUGUGGAUUUUUAAAUGGUAUUGAUGUUUCGGCCGAUGGUUCAAGAGGAGGUCAUUUUCUAGCUUGGAAGGAAAAUGUUAAAACGAAUCUAAUGAGUUAUUCUAGUAGUCAUGUAGAUGUUGUAUUUUAGAAGAUUGAUAAUGGAGGUUUGCUGGCUUUUAUGGGACAUCAAAUGCGUGUAGCAGAGACGAUUCAUGGAAUUUGUUAAGAAAUCUAGGACGCUCUCAAGCGUUCCCUUGGCUAGUGUGUGACAAUUUUAAUGAAAUUAUAUACUCUUUUGAAAAGGUUGGGGUGCCAAGAGAGGAGAAGAGAAUAGAGGUCUUUUGAGGAGUCUUAUAGGAAUGUUAGUUAAUGGACAUUGGAUACUUUAGGGCUAGGUUUACCUGGGAAAGGGGAAACUUACCGAAAACGAAUAUGAGAGAGCGACUGGAUAGAGGAGUGGCGAAUGCCGAAUGGAUGAACAUGUUUUCUAGUGCAGUGGUUUAGCAUUUACCACAUUCUUUUCCAGAUCAUUGUCCCCUUUUUAAUCAUACGGAGCAGGAGAGUAAUAGGUUGAGGCAGAAAAGGUUUCAGUCCGAGGCAUGGUGGGUGAUGUAAGAAUCUUUUGAGGAGGAGGUUAAACAAAUAUGUCAAUCUACUUCGGGUGAUAUGUUGGCUAAGCUAGAAGGUGUGAGGAAGGGCUUAGUGAGAUGGGCGGGUUUUGUUAGAAAUAAAAGAGAGGGCCUUAAAAGGAAUUUGACUAGAAAAUUGGAGGAGAUGAUGGGAAAGGAUAGAGAUGAUGAGAAUAUUGUUGAACUAUCUUAAAAUUCUCUUGUCAUAACUUGAAGUUUGUGUCAUUUAAUAUAAGAAUACAAUUAAUGCCUGCAAUAAUGUUGGCAGGUAUAAUUAUUGUUGUAUCAAACAAAACAAUCUCAUGUAUGACUUCAAAUAUAAAACAAAAUAAUAAUUAAUUCGAAUAAAGGUAAACCCUAAGAUACCAAUCACUCCAUUAAUAUUUCAUUUUUGAACAAAUAUAUUAAGUUGUAAAUGAUAUCUUGGUGUAGUAAUUAAACACCGACAAUAAGCGUCACAUGUUUAUUACAACAGUUGCAAAUGUAAUUUUGUUAAAUAUUAGCCUCCAUUUAGGCCAGUCAAUAUUAACAUAACUUAAGUUACAUACACACAACCCCAAAAUUAUAAAAGUCCUAUUGUUAAAUUGAUUUGGUUCCUUUGACAUAGGAAAGCCGAAUUGCAUAAACAAUCAAUGUAUCCCCUAUUUUAUUCAUGUUUAUCACAAUGUUUGAAGGAGUGCUCACUCUUUUAGGGCGUGUUUACCAUUGAGGUUGAAAAGUAUCAUUAAACCCAAACAAUUAUUUCAAACCAAACAUUAAUUUUAAACUAGGAUUUUAGGCCAACCCAAAACUUCUAGCUUUUACUUUUUGGAAAGGUGCUUUUCAAUUAAAAACCUUUUUAUUCCUCGUUAAACUUUCUACUUUAUAACAUAAUGUCUAAAAUGGAAAUUUUAUUUUUCUAAAAACACUUAUAGACAACAAUAAUAAUUACUAUUAAUUUUUUCAAAAUCACUUUUCUACGGCACUGUUAAACUUAAAUGAUAAUCUAGCCUUUUAACCACUCUUUUCUAACAGAGAGCUUAUCUCUUAGCAAUAGUUUGGGCAAACAAAAAUAAUGUAUAUAUGAAAACGAAUAUUGAAUUUGAAUGUACAAUCAAUUUUCUGAAUAAUUAAUUAAAAAGAAUGUUUGAAUUCAAAAAUUUUAAAAAUUUUGAUAAAAAAUGUGGAAGCGCAGACUUGUGUGAUGAAUAGUAAUGAUAAUAAUGAUAGAAGCUGUUUCCUGGCACGAGGAACUUAUGGAAUUCGUCCAUUUGGUUCUAUAUUAGCCCUGUUGCUUCCGUGUUUAAGAGUAAAACGACAAAAUAUUAAGUAGAAAACACCAAACGAAUUGAACUAUUUUCUUAAGAUGGUGUCGGUAAUGUAUCUGUGGAUACCCAUUUGAAUUUUUAAAAAACUGAAAAAAUUAAUUUAUUUUUUAGAUUGAAUCAGCAGCAGGAAAAUAAGAAAAAAUACAACUUUGAGUUUGAGUUUGGAACUCUGAGAUUUCGCUCGGUGAUCUGAAUGGUGAGGUGGUAUGUUUAAAUACGGAGAAUAAUAUAUAUUCGACUAGCAACAAUCUGAUGGAGUGAAAUAGGAACUGAAAAAAAGGGUAAUUUAAAGUUUUGGUCAUUGUUUUAAAAGAUUACCUUCAGUCAUUAUAUUUUUCAGUUUUGGAAUUCCAGUACUACUUAAAUUGUAAUUGUUAAAUCUAUUUACUAUAAUGAUAUAAAAUUUUUAUGAAUAUUAACACUAUUAUUUUUUUUAAAGCACUUAUUCAUGGCACAAGGAACUUAUGAUGAAUAGUAAUGAUAAUAAUGAUAGAAGUUGUUUUUCUGGCACAAGGAACUUAUGAUGAAUAGUAAUGAUAAUAAUGAUAGAAGUUGUUUUCCUGGCACAAGCAACUUAUGGGAUUCGUCCAUUUGGUUCUAUAUUUCUCCGCUUGCUUGAGCGUUUAAGAGUUAAAGGACAAAUUAUUAAGUAGAAAACACCAAACGAAUUGGAAGGCUUUUGUCUUCUUCAAUUGGUAUGACCUAUAUUUCUUAUUAAACUUCGUAUUUUACAUUCAAUAUCAUCAUCACAAUCAUUUUAAUUUAUUUUCAUGAAUAAACUUUUAUGUCUCAUUUUAAUUGAAUCAUUAAAAUUUAUUAAUUGAAUUUUUUUUUAAGAUGGUACCGUUAAUGUGUCAAGUGAUAUCAAUUUAAAUUUUUAAAAAAAGUUGUUUGAAUUAAUUUGAUUUCAUUCGGUAAUCCAAACAGUGAGAUAGUGUGUUUAACUACGGGGAAUAACAUAUAUCCAAAUGGUGACAAUCUGGUGGAGCGAAACAGAUAUCGAAGAAAGAGUAGUUUAAUGAAUUUGGAGUCGACUUCUGGAAAAUCUGAAUUAUAGAAGUGAACGAAGAGGAAAUCUCUUCUUUGGUGCCGUAAUCGACAUAAACGGCCAUUAUGAAUGGCAACAUCGAUAAUUAUUGAGUACAAUGAUUAAAAUUUUCAGUUAAAAAAAAGGAAUGGAAAGGAAAACAAAAAGAAAAACGUGGAAAGAAAGAAAGAAUAAUAAUAAUUAAUUAAUAAAUAAAAAGAGAAUUGUGGGGGCGAUGCUUUUGAACAAAUCUUGAUUUAAACUAUGUAAAGAAAAUAUGCGUUAUAUAUAUAAUUAAUUAUGCACUUAUACUUAAUAUAUUAUAUAUUUAAUGUCAUAUUUUCAUAUUCUCGGGAAGUGGUAAUAUACAAGUACUUGAUUUGAUUUAUUUCUUGAUCGCUUCGUGAAUUUUAUGUUUGUAACAAUAGGGACAGAAUUUCUUCAAUUCCAAUCGACUGGGCGUAUUGUGUCAAUUUUUUUUGAGUAAUAUACCUAGAAAUACCCGUUGAUUCCUUAUAAACGCCGUUUCAAACACAACUGGUACACCCCAAAAUAACCGUUACUCAGACAUCUUUACUAUUGACCAUGAACCUCCUUUGAGUUUUUAAUUCACCUAACUUUUCUAUUUUUCAAUCAAAAGCGAAGAAGAAAGGAAUGAAAAAAAGAAAGAAAUCAAAGUUGCUAACUCAAAACAAAUCCUGACAAUUUUGGUUGCAAUCAAUAUAGCAAGUCAAUAUAAAUUUAUAGUAAUAGCAAAUAAUAAGAAUAAGUAAUACAACGAUUUCUAACUCUAUUUAGAAUCAAAUCAGAGUAUGGUAUUUUCUUUAAUCAAUUAAUUGAAUUCAAAAUAUUCAAUUAAAAUAAAUUAAAUUGUAUAAAUUUUAUAAUUUUAAAUUAUUAUUUUUGUAUUAAUUUAAAACAAAAUAAAUAUUAUAUACAAUAAUUUAGUUGCAGCAUGUCAGCUUGAAGUCCAAGACCUUAUAACAUAUAAAUUUAAUAGAUAAUUAAUAACUAAAAAAUUAAAUAGCAAAAGCAUAAUUGCGCCACUUCUCACCAUUUUAGUGUAUGCAACUUAUUAUAUAUUUAUAUAUAUUAUCAUUUCAUUUUAAAUAAUUUAAUUUUUAUAUUAAUUUUUAUAAAUUUAGGGAUAAAUCUUAAAAUUAUACAUAAACUUUAAUUUAAUGUGUAAUUGCAUACAUAAACUUUAAUUUGGUACAAUUAUACACAUGAUACUCUAAUUGUGGUUCAAAUACAUACUUGAAACUUUAAUUUUGAUUUAAUCAUACACAUUUAAAUAAAUAAAUACAUCAAUUUAUUUUUAUAUUGGGUAAAUAUAUUUAUGUAUGCAAUAUAUAACAUAAAAUGAUGUUAUAUCAAUAAUUGUGUUAAUAAUUUUCAAGAAUUGGAUCAAAUCAAAAUUUCAUGUAUAAAAUUGCACAAAAUCAAAGUUCAUGUAUACAAUUGCACAUUAAACCAUAAUUCAUGUACAGUUUUAGUAUUUAUCCCAUAAUUUAUUAAAUAAACUUUUUACCUAUAUCAUAUAUAGAGUUGUCUGUGAACCGAGCCAAGGAAUGCCCGCUCGAAAAAAUGAGGGUUUAAGAAAAAAAAUAUGCCCAAAAAAAGGGCUUGGAUAAAAAGACAAGGCCCGUUUAGAAAAUGAAUCGGGCCUUUGCUAAGGUUUUUUUUGUCCAAGCUCAGCCCGACCCAAAUUUUCAAUAAAAAAACCCUACUGUUUUUACCGCUAUUUUUUCAUAUUUUGGUGUUGUUUUCUCACUUUUUGCCACUGGUUUACUAUCAUUUCACUAUUAUGUUACUACUAUUUUUUUUGUUAAUGUUUGGAUAUUGUAUAACACUUGUUUUAUUGUUAAUUUUGUCACUAUUUUAGAGGCAUUUGUUUGUUAUGUUGUACUUAUCUUAGUUUUUAUUUAAGUAUAAAAAAUUUUUAAAUUCUAUUUUCAAUUUAUUGGAAACAUGUAAUUUAAUAUUUGUAGUAUAUUUGGUGUAUUAUAAUAAUAUUUAUUAUUAAAAUAUUAAUAUUGAAUAUUUUCAAUAAUAUGUGAAGAAUAUUAUUUAAAAUUAUUUUUUAAAAUUUAUUAUUAAAUUAAAAUUGAAAUAUUAAAUAAUUUAUUAAAAUAAUUAAUUAUAUUAAUAAUUAAUUAUAUGACUAAAUAUAAAUAAUUAAAUAUGUAUGUUUAAUAAUAUUGAAAAAUAUAAUAUUUUAUAUUAAUAUUUUAAAUAUUUUUAAAAAUAAAAAUAAAAGUUAUUUUUAAUAUAAUAAUAUUAAGCUUGAUUUAAAUUAAUUUUUAUAUAAAAAUAAAAUUACCUAUAGAUGAGCUCAUUUUUUAGAAAAUGACUUACACUUUUCAAAAUGAUAAGUCAUUUUAUAGGAAAAAGAGCUAAUUUUACGUUGACCUAUAAGUCAUUUUCCGUUGACCAAACUGUUUUCUGUAAAACAAACAUAGAAAAAUGCAGAAAAUAGUUUCCGUAAAACUUUUUACAUGUAAACAAAUGGACCCUUAAUUCAAGCUUAUUCCAACAUAACCCACUUCACUAUUAGCAUGACUCUCCCUUAUACUAAAUUUAACCAUUAACCCUUCUCAUGAUUUCUAACAAAAAUUUUCAAGUUCUCUUUAAUGGCAACUUGUAUUAACUUCAACAAUAAGAAAUUCUAACUAUGGGGUUGGUUGUAUCAAGUUUCAUAGUUUAAAAAUCUAUAAAAAAAUUAUUGAGAAAAUAAUUUGUUUACCUUUGAUGGCCUUGAUGGAGAACAACUUGGUUUCUUCUUCUACUUAGUUUAAAGAAUGCAUGAAGAAGAAGAAGAUUUCCCCUCUCCCACUAUUUUAAAUAUAUAUAUAAAUAACCUAUUAAUCAAGGUAAUUAAGUCACUAAUUAACCUUAAUUAGUUAUGAUCUAAUGGCCAUAAACUUAUCAUGAGAAAAUUAGUGGAAAUGUGCGGCAUUGAUAAUGGUUUGCCAAUAAUCAAACUUUGGGCAUGGUAAUAUUGCAAUCAGGUUUUUGGUAUAAUUACACUUUUAAGUACUUGCUAAAUUCUGUAAUCAAUUCCCACUAGUUGGGUCACUUGAACAAUUGGGUCCAUGUACUAUAGUUACAACUUAUCCAAUUUAAUCAAUUAAUGAUUUGACUUUAUAAUUUCAUGUACAACACACAAACUCCUCUAGUAAAUUCUCGAGCUAGCUUUAUUUAAAAAUUUGGCCUCAAAAAUAGCUUUCCAAAUGUUCAUGAAAAUUGAGUCGUUACAUAUGGUAUUUGUUUUGUUCAGCUUAUUUGUCAGGCUCUAUAUCCUUUGAACUUAUGUUCGUUGACUUUGGUGUUGCUUAAAUGAAAAUGUGGUGAACAAUCUUAUGGAUAGGAGGAGUGUAUGAUUGAGUAUGUGUAACACCCUUAACCCACAUCCUUCGCCGAAUUAGAGUGACAGAGUGUUACUUGUAACACCCCAAACCCAGCCUAAACGUUAUGGUCGUAUCUGGCAAUGUCACACAAUAGUGUUUUUGAAACCUCGUUGUUACGUUGAAAACAUUUCAUGUUAUUAUCUUUAGUAAACAUUUGUUAGAACUUAGGAAGUCGUCUUUAUUCAUUUAAAACAUUUGUUUUGAAACAUCCCUCGUUGCGGAAGCUUUAAUAAAACAGUCUAAGUGAUCAUGCGUUUAGAAACUAUUUUAAUUUUUUGAAAACUGAAUUUCCUACGACCAACAGGUAUAAAUCCAUAAAGUAAAAUAAAUAAAUAAAAACCCAAAAUUUAAAACCAAAGUCCCAGAAGGUCCUUAAAUUACAACCCAAAUAAUCAAUAAUAAUUAAAUCAUAAAACGUAAAUUGAAAACCAUGAAGUCCAAAAAUUACUGUGGUCACCGCUGAGUCCUCCGUCGCACCGAUUCGUCUAAGUCUGGGGAUUACCUGUGCACGUUAAACAAAAAGGGUGAGUUUACGUAAAUUCAGUGUGUAGUCCCGCAGAAACAAAUAAACAAUCAGUAUUCACAGUGCACAGUUGAACAGUCUUGGGCCCAAGCCCAUCUCAGUACAAUGUCAAAAAUGCAGUAGCAGAAUCCUACCCAACCAACCUCCACACACUAUCUCCGCCCAACCCUACACUCCAUGUGGGGAUAUAAUCAACCCACCCAUCCCUACACUCCAAGUAGUACCGAAUGCGGCACAAAACAGUAGUUUGCAGCUGAGCUGCCAGUAAAUUAGGCUUAAAGCCUUUCAGUACACUUCCUCUGAAUAACAACCCCCAACCCGAUGCAAUGCAACAUACAAUAGAUGAUAUGCUAUUAUGCAAUUUCUGUACAUAUAUUUGGUUCAGAUAUUAACAUGCCCAGUAUAGAUAUCAUUCAGUCAAUUUCACACAUUUAGGGGUCUAAGUAGCGCUUACCGACCUUACAGUAGGUUCACAGUUGACUUGGGUGACCCGUACAACCUUAGAAACAUUCCGGUAAAAUUGGGCUACAUGCCCGUGUGUGCCCGUGUGGCCCACUCGGCCCAAUUUGGCCUUGGUCGUGUGAUCCAUUUUUAAUGUAACCCAUGCUAGCUAAAUAUUCAUAUAUGUUUUCACUAUUUACUUAUAUGUUCAUUUAAAGUUGUCUACUUGAGUCAUUGUCACUAAAUUAUUUAUACCUUGAGCUACAGAAUUCCAAAUUAAGAUCCGCUUGAUGUUUUCAAAACUAUACUCAAAUACCUUUCUACCAUAAAAUUUUCAAAUUUUAUAGUUUACCAAAUAAGUACAGUAAAAUCUUCAAAUUUAUCCCAAUUCUGCUAUUUGAUAGCUUCAACGUUUCCUUACUAAAAAUUAUUUAUCUCUUAGUACGGAAUUCGGAUGAUGUUUCCUUUGUUUCUCUUGAAAAUAGACUCGUUAAGGAUUUAAACAUAUAAAUUUAAGCCCCUAAUUAUUUUUUAAAAUUUUCGAUGAUUUUUCCAAAAUCAGAACAAGGAACCAAAACCCAUUCUAACAUUGUCUCACAAAAUUCAUUAUAUCUCAUAACUUAAAAUUUCAUUGCUUACACAGUUUCCUUCAUGAAAAACUAGACUCAAUAAAAUUUAAUAUCAUAUUUUAUUCAACCUCUAACUCAAUUUCCCCUAUUUUUGAUGAUUUUUCAAAGUUAGACUACUACUGCUGUCCAAAACUAUUUUAAUGCAGAAUGUUGAUUUCCAAGUUUAAAACACCCUUAUUUCCUUUCUCUACAAUUUUUUGCAUCAUUUUCUCUUAUUUCUCGUAUUUCUCGAUAGCAAGCAAUUUCAGCUUUUCGUUGAAUCCCAUUUUCUGCAUUUUGGGUACACACCUGGUAUCGUUUCUGAUGCGUAAGCACUCUUAAGCCUCCAGAACCUAAAAAUCGACCAAUAAAUCUCCAAAUUAAUCACUUAAUUCAUUUUUAAUCAACCAAUUUUGGAAGGAACUCGACUAAAAAAACCUAACAAAACCCUUACCUUGCUUCAGUAACCACGACUUCGCACAAUCAUAGUGUCGAUUCAAAACCACCAACCCCUUGAUUAACUCAUAAACACCAAAAAAGAAACCCCUUUUCAGAGAUUAACCAAGAACGAUUAACAAUAGAAAAAACUGUUACUUACCGAACACACGCAACCAACGAUGAACAACCAAAUCAAUUGGAAAAUAAUGAAAGAAAAGGAAGAGAAAAAAAUAAUGGAAAUUUCGGCAGCAACUAGGGGAAAGAAUCGGUAGAGGAGAGAAAAAAGAAGAAAAAAUCAGAAAAAGUUUGGGUAAUUGGAGAGAAAACCAAAACUCUACUUUUUUUUCUACAACAAAAAGAUAAUCAGAUUAUUUUCUGAUAACCUCUCCCCCAUUAUCUCCUAAAAUCACUCCUUAUUAACCCACUAAAACACAACUACUCAGAAUUUUACCCCAACACAACUCUUAGCCAAAAUUGGAGCAAAAAUACUGUCUCUACGCCAUCAUAGAGAAUUGAACAUAAGACCUCCUUCACACCAACACUCCAUUUAUCCACCAGACCAGCAAGCCCAUUCUGUUAAUUAUUUGUCAUCUUUUACUUAAAAGCCUACUGACCAAAGAUAGGGCUUAUUCAUAAAAAUACCAAAAUUUUCCCAAAACCUGGCUUGAACUUGGGACCUCUCACACACCCAAAACACUUAACCACUAAAGCAGAUACACAAUUGUGUCACACCUUCGUAAGAACAAAAAUAAAAAUUUUGGGACGUUACGUUACUAUACAAAAUAGAACAUUUCAUGACAACACAUAAAUAAUUAUGCAAAUUAUCACAAUCAUUAAUUAACCAUAUUAAAAUAUAACAUAAAUAUCCAUACGACCUUUAAAUCGAGCUUAUAUGUCCCUAAAAAUAGCUUGAGAUCAAUCUAGGAUCAAUUUUGAACAAAAACAUAAAUUUUAAAAAAACCCUAAAAAUUUUGGAAAACAUGGGUCACACAGCCGUGUGUCCAGGCCAUGUGACAUAGCCCAGACCUUGUGGGCAUUCAAAAUCAGGUAACGCAGUCAUGUCCCAGCCCGUAUGUCUACUUGUGUGAAUAUUCGAAAUAGGGUCUCACGGUCGUGUCGAGGAUCGUAUGCUAAACCGUGUGUAUAUUCAAAUUAUGGACACACGGCCGUGUCGCAGGCCAUGUGCUAGACCUUGCUCAAAACUAUUUUGAGACACACAGCUGUGUCUUAGACUGUGUGAAAUUUUCACUUUAAACAACAACACACAGCCGUAUCCUAAGCCGUGUGCACCAAAAUGUACCUUAAAAAUCAAAUUUACCAAAACAUGUUUACUUAGGCAUCAAGCAACCUAAUUACCAUCAAUUAAACUCAUUCAAAACACGAUUAAACAUGUUCAAAAUAUCCAUCCUAAGUUCCUAACCAUUGUGCCCUCAUUGACACCAUAAUUCAAUAAUCAAAUCAAUCACAUUUAAACCAAGAUUUAAACAUUCAAAUUAUAAAAUCACCAUUAACCAUUCAUACCAAAACACUACUCAUUUCAAGUCAUAAACACCUAGCAAUAUUCACAUACUUUAUAAAGCUUAACUACCAAUACCAAAUAAGAUCCAUACACACAUACAUACCAAACAAAACACAUAUUCACAAGUAUCAUUCAAGGUUUACAACUUUACAUGUAAUUAACAUGAUUUCAAGUCACUUAUUACAUGUCAUAUAACCCAAAACAAACAUUAAACAAACUACCAAUAGUUUCUCGAAUAGUUGAUUCUUGAUCUUGAUCUAUAAUAUAAUUUAUUUCAAUUAUUAGCCUCAAUUUUCAUAUUCUAAUCAUUUCAAUACAUAUGAUCUCUUGUUUACAAAUUUACAUAAUUACCCUAAAUUUUUACACAUUAUUCAAUUUAAUCCCUAUGACCAAAUCAAGCUUAGUUCUACAAUUAAAUUCUCAAUCCAUAGAACUAAAUUUUAACCACAUCCAAAACAAUUCAUAUAUGCUAAAAUUUUCAAGAGUAACAUGUCUAUUUCAAUUAAAUCACUAAACAUCAAAAUUUGUAAAAAUCACUUUACAAACUCAAUACAUAUCAUCACCAAGCUUCAACCCAAACUAUUUAAUAUUACAAAUCUUCAAAAUUUUCAAUACAUAAUUUCUAUACUUUGAUAACUUCACAAAUAAACUCCAAAACUAGCUAAAUUCCAUUAUCAAUAGCUCAAAACUUAAAUUUUAUGAUAAAUAAACCAAGAAAAUACUUACAUGCAUUAAAAACUAUCAAAAACCAAGCUCCCAAGCCUUAGAACAAAGGUGUUUCGGCCAAACCUAAGAAAAAUAAAGAAGAUGACCACUACCCCACUUUUGUUUUACUUUCUUUUUAUUAUUAUUAUAAUGUUUAUUUAUGAAAUUAUAACAUUAUCAAACACCAAUUUGAUAUUGUUUUUCUCUCUUUACCGCCCAUAUUAACUAACUAUGGGCUAAUGGCAACAUAACCCCCCUUAGUUUACUAAUUUAAGCUGUUAUAUUAAAAUAAAUCAAUAAUAAGCAACUUUUCCACCUAUUACAAAUUAAUCCUUUUUCUUUAAUCAAUUCACUAUACGUUAAAUUUUCUAAACCAAAACUUAAUAUAACACUGAUGACUUUGUAAAUAUUAAAUAAUUAAUAAUUUUAGAUUGACACGUCGAAAUUGUGGUCCUAAAAUCAUUAUUUUCAACACCACUAGAAAUCGGACUGUUAUAGUAUGGUUCUACCUCUUAGGGGGAGAUGUAUUCUAGUUUCCUUUCACUUGUUUAGAUGAUGUGUUAAUCAUUUGCUAUUGGUUUUGUCAAAAUGCCAAAUGGUGAGAUUGUUUGAACUUUGACUUCUUUUCUUAUUUCACUUCAUGUUCGAAGAGUAGAUUAAACCAUGCUUUGAUGCAUUCAAAGAAUUUAUGUUGGUAUAUUUGAUUUUAUAAUGAAAUGGCUUAUAGUUUAAUCUCGUUGAGUAGCAAAUGGGGAAGUGAUUUUGUAUUAUAACAUGUGAUGAUCAUUAUCUUUCAAUCAACUACCUUGGAAAAGAACGAGAGGAGUUUGAACUUUUGGGGACUUUCGUAAUAUUUGAAGCUGCUGAGAUAUUUGUUUAUAAAGACUUUUAUUUAUCAUUAAUCAAAAUAAUUCAUGAGAUAAUUUCAACCUUUAUAUUGGAGUUCUAAACUUAUGAAGACUCUAUUAUUGGCCUAUAAAUAGGCAUAAUUACCGCACAUUGAAAAUAGGCUUUUGGAGGGUUUGGAUACUUUGGUGAAUUUUUCAUUGGGCUAUAAAUAGGCAUAAUUACCGCACAUUGAAAAUAGGCUUUUGGAGGGUUUAAGUUGGAUACUUCAGUAAAUUUUUCUUGUGUUUUAUACCACACUCUUUUUAAGUUUUAUUGGAGAUAUUUAUUUGAUUGUAAGUGAGGUAUUUUGGAGAGAAUGAUUUAUAAUAAUUUAGGUUCAAUAUUAAAGUUGCAAAUAAUUACGGGUAAAAGUAAUUUGGACUGUAGUCAAUAGUUGAUCAAGACGAAUUGUAAAUUAAAAUUAUUUUCUAAGUAAAAUUCUACAAAAUAAAACUGGUAAAUUCAAACUGCGUUAAUAAAUAUUACAUAUUAUCUUUCCUUACUUUACUCGUUGCUUUACCUUAUUUUAAAAUUGUUUUGUUAUAAUCUAUUAUGUUUGAACCUUUUCGAUCGAAAUAAAAAAAAUGAGAUUGAAAUUGUGAUAAAGCUAAAAAAAGGUUACAACAAAUAUGAUUAAUAUUAUUUUUUAUAUAUACUUAAUAAAAGUUAAAAAGGGAAUUCCAUUUAUUGAAUAUUAUUUUAUUUAAUAAAAUAUAUUUUAUAUAUUUUAUAUAAAAUUUAAACAUUUUAUUGUUUGUUAGUUAAAUUUUAUUAUUUUUAUUUUCUUUAUGAAUAAAAAUAAUUUUCCUAAAAUAUGAGAUAAAAAAUGUUAUAGAGAAUUAAAUUAAUAAAAAGUACAGUUCAUACUUUAUAAUUAUUAUAAAUGAAAAAAUAUUAUGAAAAAAUAUUAAACAUAAAAAAUUAAUUCUAAAAUAAACUUAACUAUAAUAAAAUAAUUUUAUAUAAAAAAAGAAAUUAUAGAAAAGACUUAUUGAAUAUAUUUCCAAUUUUCGACAUUCAUAAAACAAAAAAUAAAAAAAGUGGUUCUAAUAAUUUAUUUAUACAAAAAAAAAAAAGUGGUCCUGACGUUCAUCCUUUCCCAUCUCUAUAAAUUUGCAUGCAGAACUAAAGCAACACAUAUCAACACAAUCUGUAUAACCAUGAAAACCACAACAGCUUCGGUGUUUCUUCUUUUCAUCAUCUUCUCAAUCACACCAUCGUCCUUUUCGUUUGGUGUGGCCAACUCUACAAACGCUCCUGUGCUCGACAGUGAUGGCAACGAGCUCCGCACGGGCACCCCAUACUUCGUUGUGUCGUCGAUAUGGGGUGCUGGUGGUGGGGGGCUUGCCCUAGGCAUGCCUAGCGGAAACCCAUGCCCGGAAGUCGUUGCUCAAAGAGGAUCCGGUGACGAUGGUAUUCCGGUGAUAUUUUCUAAUUCGGACUCCAACGAUGGCGUUGUUCGCCUAUCCUCUGACAUAAACAUAGAGUUCAUUCCCCUCAGACCCAAACUUUGCCGAACAACAACGGUGUGGAAGGUCGAUGAUUACGACCACUCAGCCGGAAAAUGGUGGGUGAUAACCGAUGGGGUUAAAGGGAACCCGGGUGCCAACACUUUGACCAGUUGGUUUAGAAUAGAGAAGUUGGGUGAUCUUGAUUACACAUUUAAGUACUGCCCCGCAGUAUGUGGAACAUGCCCAGCUUUAUGCAACGAAAUUGUGAGAGACUCAGAUGGAGAAAUGAUACGUUUGGCUCUCUCCAAUGGCCAUGGAUGGCAAUUUUACUUUAAGAAAGUUGAAACAUCAGCCAUGGAGAUUCAACAAGUUCAUAAUUAGAUUGAAAGCAAUCAUUAUGCAUGAACUAGUAGUUACUAUACAUUAUUACCUUCAAGUAAAUAAUGCCGAGAGAACUGAUUGUUAAUUAAGAUUGCCUUGUUUGAAGCAGCAGCAUGA